This is a long non-coding RNA of Bactrocera dorsalis (oriental fruit fly), 639 nucleotides long. RefSeq lists it as uncharacterized. The transcript has 3 exons. NCBI's taxonomy places the organism in Eukaryota, Metazoa, Arthropoda, Insecta, Diptera, Tephritidae. The record is from RefSeq and is a predicted model, not a curated record.
ACUUAAACGGCUGGAAGGCGAUUUCAUAUAAAGAAAAAUGAGACGAAAACAGAAACAAUAACUUCACAAAACAAAUCAAGCAAACGAGAAAAACUUAAAAGCGAUUAUGAACAUAUGUAUGUAUGUAUACAUGCAUGUACUCUGUAUAAAUAAGUUAUGUGCACUUUGCAUUGAGGUGGGUUGAGGGAUUGAGGCGCGGUGCGACUGUGUAAAACUUUUAACAGUAUAGUAAAUAAACAAGUAAAUGAUAUUAACCAAGUUGCAGUUGCAGAAAACUCAUACGAAAGCCGAAGACAAACAAAAAGCGAAAAUAAGUACGAAUGAUAAAAACAAGAAUUGUUUAAAAAUUUUGAUGAUACGGCGAAAGCAGCGAUAUGACGAUAUGACGAUAUGACAAAACUCCAACCAAAAGCAGUUGAAGGAGCAGUUUAAAGCCAAGUUUGUCGACCGGCCGAUGAGCUAGCCGGGACAUAUGGAAAGUGAAGAACAUAUGUAUAAAAGCAGCAAAAUAUACUCGUGAAUGCACUGUACGCAGUGAGGAAGAGACUGAAUAACAUUUCUUUGGCUGACGAAUCCCCAACCAAGUGCACCAACAAUAUAAUCCCCCCAACAGAAGAAGAGGCAGCAGCAACAGCACCG